GCGCACACACACACGUGUGUAGGACAACUGGGGUACUUCGCUGUGCGUACUCUACUGAAUUAGUAGCUUGUGUCCUAUGGCGGAUGCAGAGCCCAUGCUGGUCCCUGCCCCUGGGGGGGAGAAAAGGGCCUGCCCUGCCUUGGAGGAUGAGGUGGCCCACAGCACCAAGAGACCCAGAGUCCAGAAGGAUGAGAACAAAGGAGGACACUCUCACAAGCCAGCCCAGGAUGAGGCAGAAGAGCCAGAGGCGGAGGAGACAGAGCCACUGGAAGAGGAGGAUGGAGAAGGGGCCGGGUUAGGUUCUGGAGAGGCUUUUGCAGAGAUGAUGAAGCAUGGACUCACAGAGCUGGAUGUGGGGAUUCUGAAAUUUGUCAGUGAACACAAGGGCUUCUCUGGGAUCCUCAAGGAGAGGUACUCUGACUUUGUCGUACAUGAGGUCAACAAAGAAGGCAAGACGGUGCAGUUGGAUGAUCUCUCGGUUCCUGAGGAGGCUGAGGAAGCCAGUGUGGCAGAGCAGCCAGGGUCUGAGGUUUUCACAGAGGAGCAGAAACACGAACUUGAGCAGCUGCAGCUCUUCAAGAAAAAAGAGGGCAACGUGUCCAUAGAGAUGGCGGAUGACACCAAAGAGAAUCGGACCCUGGUCCACAAAGCUGUCAAGACCCUGUACCCUGGACUGGAGACCAAGACAGAGGAGCGGGAGGGAAAGAAGUUCAUCGUGGCCUACCACGCAGCCGGGCAGAAAGCACUCGCAGAGGUCAAAAUCGCUGCAGCCCCCAGGAAACACUCCUGGCCUAAGAGCCGUGGGGCCUUCUGCCACUUUGUCCUUUACAAAGAGAACAAGGACACCAUGGAGGCCAUCAACGUGCUGUCCAAGUUCCUCAGGAUGAGGCCUAAUGUGUUCUCUUACAUGGGGACCAAGGACAAGAGAGCCGUCACUGUGCAGGAGAUUGCAGUUCUUAAGGUCACAGCAGAAAGACUGUUUCACCUUAACAAGUGCCUCAAUAACUUCAAGCUGGGAAACUUCUGCUACAAGAAACACCCUCUGAAACUGGGGGAACUACGGGGAAAUCAUUUCACUGUGGUCAUCAGGAACAUCACCGGGACAGAUGACCAGGUCCAGCAGGCCAUGACCUCCCUCAGAGAGACAGGCUUUAUCAACUACUACGGCAUGCAGCGCUUUGGCACCACUGCCGUGCCCACACACCAGGUUGGCAAAGCCAUCCUGCAAGACAACUGGAAUGAAGUGAUAGAUCUGAUCCUGAAGCCUCGCCCUGGAGCGGAGAAAGGCUACCUAGUGAAGUGUCGUGAGGAGUGGGCCCAGUCCCAGGACCCAGAGGCAGCGCUUAAGAAGCUACCUGUGAAAUGCUGUGUGGAGGGACAGCUGCUCCGAGGCCUCUCUAUGUACGGCAAGAAGAACAUCAUCACUGCAUUUGCCAUGAUCCCUCGUAACAACCGGCUGAUGUACAUCCACAGCUACCAGAGUUUUAUGUGGAACACCAUGGUCAGCAGACGCAUUGAGGCCUUCGGGCUGAAGGCUGUGGAGGGAGACCUCGUGCUCAGAGGAGGCACUGCGUUCGUGCUGUCUGCAGCCGAGGCAGAGACCCACUCUAUUCAGGAAGUGGUGAUGCCCCUACCAGGGUUUGAUGUCAUCUACCCCACUCACCACGUGGGGAAGGGCUACAGGGAGAAGCUGAGUGCAGAUAACCUGGACAUUGACAACAUGAGACACAGGGUGAGGGACUACUCUCUGGCCGGGGCCUACCGACGCAUCCUCAUCAAACCCAGUGACGUCAGCUGGGAGGUGAUUAACUAUGAUGACCCUCGUAUCUCUCUGGUUCACACUGAUGUGGAGAAACUAGAAGACCAACCUCCUCCGGUCUUCAACAAAGAGGGGAAGUACAGGGCUUUGAGGAUGGAGUUCUCUCUGCCUCCCUCCACCUAUGCCACCAUGGCCAUCAGAGAGGUGCUCAAGAUGGACACCAGCAUCAAGAACCAGACCCAGCUCAACACCAUCUGGCUCAACUAACACAACACGGAACAACAUUUUACUGAGCUGUAUCCAGCGAUGUCGAACGUUGCAGAUAGAAAUUUCAUGAAUAGAGCUGCCACGAUUCCCCUAUUCGAUAUGACGAUCAUAUCUUGUCUAUGCGAUACAUUUCUAUCUGAACCUUCUGUAUUGUUACUUUCUCCUCAAUAGGCCCUUGAACUACAUAUAGGCCUAGACUACUGGGCUGUUUUUACAGGCUGCAGAGCAGUCCAUACUCUAUGUGCGAGUAUCUGUAUACUGUGGGAGUGUGUUUGGUACUCUGCCAAGCCAAAAGUCAUUCCUCAAGGUGUGUCAUAGUGAUGAUGGAAAUCAUCAGAGCCACCCACACAACCAAGAGCAACAUCUCUGUUGUUAUUUCCUUUUUUUAUCAGGAGGUUUUAAAGCGUUCCUGCACUGGUGGGGUUCAGAGAUAUGAUUUUGAAAUAAGUGAUGUGCUGCCUAAGCACUUACAGGUGACGUCUAGGAGUUUCUCAGUAACCCGUGGGGCUGGGAUGAUACAGGUGACGUCUAGGAGUUUCUCAGUAACCCAUGGGGCUGUUCUGAGGUAGGGCUGGGAUGAUACAGGUGACGUCUAGGAGUUUCUCAGUAACCCAUGGGGCUGGGAUGAUACAGGUGACGUCUAGGAGUUUCUCAGUAACCCAUGGGGCUGUUCUGAGGUAGGGCUGGGAUGAUACAGGUGACGUCUAGGAGUUUCUCAGUAACCCAUGGGGCUGUUCUGAGGUAGGGCUGGGAUGAUACAGGUGACGUCUAGGAGUUUCUCAGUAACCCAUGGGGCUGGGAUGAUACAGGUGACGUCUAGGAGUUUCUCAGUAACCCAUGGGGCUGUUCUGAGGUAGGGCUGGGAUGAUACAGGUGACGUCUAGGAGUUUCUCAGUAACCCAUGGGGCUGUUCUGAGGUAGGGCUGGGAUGAUACAGGUGACGUCUAGGAGUUUCUCAGUAACCCAUGGGGCUGUUCUGAGGUAGGGCUGGGAUGAUACAGGUGACGUCUAGGAGUUUCUCAGUAACCCAUGGGGCUGUUCUGAGGUAGGGCUGGGAUGAUACAGGUGACGUCUAGGAGUUUCUCAGUAACCCAUGGGGCUGUUCUGAGGUAGGGCUGGGAUGAUACAGGUGACGUCUAGGAGUUUCUCAGUAACCCAUGGGGCUGUUCUGAGGUAGGGCUGGGAUGAUACAGGUGACGUCUAGGAGUUUCUCAGUAACCCAUGGGGCUGUUCUGAGGUAGGGCUGGGAUGAUACAGGUGACGUCUAGGAGUUUCUCAGUAACCCAUGGGGCUGUUCUGAGGUAGGGCUGGGAUGAUACAGGUGACGUCUAGGAGUUUCUCAGUAACCCAUGGGGCUGUUCUGGGGUAAGGCUGGGAUGAUGAACCUAAAAUGAUCGAUACAGACACUUUUGCAUGCAGCAUUUUGCUGAUACCAUUCACUACCAUAACAGUAGCUAAUAUGGGUGAUGGCUACAACAAACUAGUAGUAAUACUAAACAGUGGUGCACGUUACUGUUCUAAUCGUAGUGUUCUAUGUUUUGCCUGAAUUGAUACGAUAACAAUCUAUCGCAAUAUCUAUUCUUUGGAACUCUGGUAGAAAGAUUUCCUCUUUAAGGGCCACCACCUCAACUCUGUCACCCACUUCCCCAAAGACAGAUUUAAAAAAAACUUGAACGCCCCUGCUACUUCCCACAGGACUACAAUGAACUGUCUCUGAUUGUACGGAAUUAUCAUUUGCUUUUUUAAACUAAAAUGUUUUGUUUUGUUUUUUGAAAUGAGCUCUUUUUUCUUUUACAGAGCGAGAAUUAAAAUGUUGAGAGAAGACUGUUGGAGAAGGUUUGUUUCAUCAGACAUUUGAGAUACAGCAUUCUGUUCCAACCUGUGCCACUUUCAGAAUAUCAUGAUGCCGAUAGUAACUAUUCAGCCCAAGAAGAUCGGUCCUAUGAAUUGCAGUUCCAUCGUCAAACAAUGGGAGCAUCUACUGUCAUAAAACUAAUGUUGCUUGACUAAAACACUUUUAUUCAAUAGACAUUGUCAUGUAUAGUAGUGUUGUGCUUUGGGGGCACUUAUUUCUGGUUGGUGGCAGUAAAGAUGCAUCUUGGCAAUGAUAGAUCAGUUUUGGGUUCUAGUCGGCACUGAGCCAAUGCCCCGGUUGCUGCUGGUCAUGGCAGGUGCUGUGGAGCUUACCGUCUGGCAGGGUGGCUCUUGCCAGCUGGCAGUAGUUAUUGUAGUGAUUGCCUGCUAUCAGUGCCAUGGCUCCAAUCUGUGUUUGACAGGAUCCAGUCACCAGCCAGUUACCCUGGUAUACUGAGAAGGAUCUCAUGCAGUUUUACUUAAUUUUCUGUUAUGUCAUGCUCUGAAAACAAUUCUCUCUAACGGAGCACUUCAGAUUUGUUUAUAUAUUUGAAUCUGUGGUCGUGUGAUUUUCUUCCAUAUCCCCCUAGCAGGACUGGUGUAACCUUGUGAGUGACCACCAUAUUUUCUUUUUUUACAUGGCCCAAGUAAGAUAUUAUACCAACUCAUACCACAAGGGGGAGAAGUUUUGACUUUUACUUUUUUUUUAAAUUAAAAACUCAACAUCUGCACGUCACACAUUAUUAUUCAAUUUCAUUAACAAAAUUCAAAAUGUGUAAAUGUCCACGUUCCUUGGUAUGAAAACCAAUCAAAACUGUCCUGUGGUCAGGUGACACAAACAUCUCUAAUAAAUACACAAAUGUGUUCCUCUAAAUCCAAUCUAAAGUUGUAUUGCUCGGCAGCGUGUAUUACAGGUACAGCUAUUUACAUUCCCUCAACUUUGCUUUAAUGUUGUGUUCCCGUCCUUCUGGCAUUGAAGUCCUUACAACUUUGCUUUAAUGUUGUGUUCCCGUCCUUCUGGCAUUGAAGUCCUUACAACUCUGCUUUAAUGUGUGUUCCAGUCCUUCUGGCAUUGAAGUCCUUACAACUUUGCUUUAAUGUUGUGUUCCCGUCCUUCUGGCAUUGAAGUCCUUACAACUCUGUUGAAAGAUAUCUGGAACUGCUUUGAUUUAUGAGCAGAUGACCUGCUACAAACUCCUGUGAUUCUCCAUACUUUAUUGUACAUUAUGUUAUUCUAUGCACACUGCAGUAUGGAUAAGUCUACUUCUAACCGGUGAGAUGAAAUGGGCUAUCUAUAAUUAUCUGUAUUGUCCCAAUUGAGAUAUGUGUAGUGCAGUCAGGGUAAAAACAACAAAACAAUAUAUUUUAAAAAAAAACACGACUGAAACUGACAAGCAGAGGUUAGCUAAGGUGUCAGCUAUCUUGGUCAACUGUAGAACAUCUACCACUGGUGGACAGUGUGAUGACUGGGAAAGUGAGGAACGGUAUGGCUCUGGUCAGGUGGGUCUGAAGGGACAGGGACAGAAUGUGGGGUGAGCUGUUGUAACUUUUCAAGGGAUAUGUUCUGUGUUGCACUGUGAUGUUAUGCCUUGCGUCGACUUCUGGUGUGUCUGCACUCUAACACAAGGCCAUUGUGUUCUGGAACUGUUGCUUGUAUAAAAUAACUUGCGUAAAUAAUGAUUGUGUUAUCACCUCCCACUAUAUAAGGGACAUGGAACCAUUUACUCUUGAGUUCUUCCCUGUGAAAUCAGAUCUCCCUCCCCUGCAGUUGCUUGAUUAAAGUUAUUAUACA
RNA transcript from Oncorhynchus masou masou (cherry salmon), 5672 nucleotides. It is a transcript of the gene named pseudouridylate synthase 7 homolog, with no coding region annotated. The transcript is spliced from 18 exons. The record is from RefSeq and is a predicted model, not a curated record. Lineage: Eukaryota; Metazoa; Chordata; Actinopteri; Salmoniformes; Salmonidae.